UUUAGACCUGGGACACCAGGUGUGUGCAAUUAAUGAUUAGGUGGACCAGAAAAUCAGCAGGCUCCGGAUCUUGAAGGGAAGCAGUUUAAUUCCCCUGGCAACUAUUACCUGACAACUCUGCCAUGUUACAAGUGUGAAGCAUCCAAGGGCACGCUGUUUCACAGCUUCACCUUAAGCCCUAAAACAGCCUCUUGUCUGGAGGUUUUGGGACCCUCCCCAGGGUGUUCAGAGACCCAGCUGAUGACCUGAUCUUGCCUGCUACCUCUUGCAGAUCGGACAAAAAAGAGAAAUGGCAGUUGUCACAAAGUGCUUUUACACCCAGCCUGAAACCCCAAGGAGCAAGCAACCACAGAGCUGAUGCAGAACCCUGAAGACCCACACCUGCCCUCUGGACUCAGAGCUCAGGCCCUCACACCUCUAUAAAGCACACAAAUACCGACAGUGUGUCUGUGUAUGUCUGCUAAAUAAACAAAACAAACAUCCGAAGAGAGGGACUGGACAGUACACGGACAAACAAAAAGAAAAGGACGUGACACUGGACAAUGGGAAAGGGGAGGGGCUAGGGGUAGGCUUGUUUGAACAGACAAGGCUUGAGGUGGUGGAUGAAGAUGGCAACAGAUUCAGAGUCACGGAUA
Long non-coding RNA from Esox lucius (northern pike), 635 nucleotides. Lineage: Eukaryota; Metazoa; Chordata; Actinopteri; Esociformes; Esocidae. The record is from Ensembl.